GUAAUACCAGCACCUCGAGUGGUCAGGACGUUUAUUGGGCCUAAAGCAUCCGUAGCCGGCUCUGCAAGUCUUCGGUUAGAUCCACCUGCUCAACAGAUGGGCCGCUGGAGAUACUACAGAGCUAGGGAGUGGGAGAGGCAGACGGUAUUCAGUGGGUAGGGGUAAAAUCCUCUGAUCCAUUGAGGACCACCAGUGGCGAAGGCGGUCUGCCAGAACACGUUCGACGGUGAGGGAUGAAAGCUGGGGGAGCAAACCGGAUUAGAUGCCCGGGUAGUCCCAGCUGUAAACGAUGCAAACUCGGUGAUGCAUUGGCUUAUGGCCAAUGCAGUGCCGCAGGGAAGCCGUUAAGUUUGCCGCCUGGGAAGUACGGACGCAAGUCUGAAACUUAAAGGAAUUGGCGGGGGAGCACCACAAGGGGUGAAGCCUGCGGUUCAAUUGGAGUCAACGCCAGGAAUCUUACCCGGGGAGACAGCAGAAUGAAGGUCAAGCUGAAGACUUUACCAGACAAGCUGAGAGGAGGUGCAUGGCCGUCGCCAGCUCGUGCCGUGAGGUGUCCUGUUAAGUCAGGUAACGAGCGAGAUCCCUGCCCUUAGUUGCUGCAGUUACUCUCAGGAGUAGCUGGGCUAACUAAGGGGACCGCCACUGCUGAAGUGGAGGAAGGAGGGGGCCACGGCAGGUCAGUAUGCCCCGAAACCCUGGGGCUACACGCGGGCUGCAAUGAUAGAGACAACGGGUUCCGAACUCGAAAGAGGGAGGCAAUCCUUAAACUCUAUCUCAGUUAUGAUUGAGGGCUGCAACUCGCCCUCAUGAAUAUGGAAUCCCUAGUAACCGCGCGUCAUAACCGCGCAGUGAAUACGUCCCUGCUCCUUGCACACACCGCCCGUCGCUUCAUUGAAGUUGGGUUUGUGCGAGGUGACGCCUAAUUGACGUCAUCGAACACGAGUUUAGUAACAAGGGAG
Molecule: ribosomal RNA, 959 nt
Filed under: uncultured archaeon
Lineage: Archaea
Description: bacterial SSU rRNA
Rfam family: Archaeal small subunit ribosomal RNA
Source: RNAcentral